RNAcentral lists this ribosomal RNA (265 nucleotides) under uncultured Glomeromycotina. RNAcentral describes it as "partial 18S ribosomal RNA". It matches the Rfam family "Eukaryotic small subunit ribosomal RNA", at positions 619 to 888 of the family's 1831-position model. The record is from RNAcentral. Lineage: Eukaryota; Fungi; Glomeromycota.
UUAAAAAGCUCGUAGUUGAAUUUCGGGGUNAGUAGGUCGGUCGUGCCACUGGUAUGAACUGGUUUUACUGAUUCCUCCCUCUUGAAGAACUGUAAUGCCAUUAAUUUGGUGUUGCAGGGAAUCAGGACUGUUACUUUGAAAAAAUUAGAGUGUUUAAAGCAGGCUUUAGCUUGAAUACAUUAGCAUGGAAUAAUGAAAUAGGACGUUUGAUCCUAUUUUGUUGGUUUCUAGGAUUGACGUAAUGAUUAAUAGGGAUAGUUGGGGG